Molecule: long non-coding RNA, 481 nt
Organism: Drosophila montana
Lineage: Eukaryota; Metazoa; Arthropoda; Insecta; Diptera; Drosophilidae
Exons: 2
Source: RefSeq, a predicted model, not a curated record
UUUGGUUAUAACUUUUUUUCCGUGUUGAGCACAGCCUUUGCUUUGCUUUUGCUUGUGAUUUGUGAAUUCUGUUAGUUUGAAUUUAAUUCUUGCCCUGCGACGAGCCCAGCGUGUGUGCCACCGAACGAGAGCCUCUGAACUGAAACUGAGCAGCGCCGUGGCAAGGAUAAGCAUAUAUUUUUGUUGAAUGAGUGCCUCAAUGAAAGCUCGCUUACGCGUGUGUGUGUGUGCGUAUGUGUGUGUGCAUUGCAACUCGUUCGUUUUUUAACGGUAACAUUGCUCUGCGCACAGGCGCAGUAUUGGGCGAGUAUGUCUCGCUGGCCAUUGUGAAUGCUGCAGCGUUGCCACCUGUGCUUUGACGUCAUUGGGUCAUGGCACAGUGGGAAUGGGUCAUUGCACAGUGGGAGAAAAUUGUUUAAAACUAACAAAAAAUGUAUUUUAGAGCUAUUUUAACUUGAAAUAGAAAGGAAAGCAAAUGGAA